RNAcentral lists this ribosomal RNA (253 nucleotides) under uncultured bacterium. RNAcentral describes it as "partial 16S ribosomal RNA". It matches the Rfam family "Bacterial small subunit ribosomal RNA", at positions 524 to 776 of the family's 1533-position model. The record is from RNAcentral.
UACGAAGGGUGCAAGCGUUACUCGGAAUUACUGGGCGUAAGGCGUGCGUAGGUGGUUCGUUAAGUCUGAUGUGAAAGCCCUGGGCUCAACCUGGGAAUGGCAUUGGAAACUGGCGACCUAGAGUGCGGUAGAGGGUAGUGGAAUUCCCGGUGUAGCAGUGAAAUGCGUAGAGAUCGGGAUGAACAUCCGUGGCGAAGGCGACUACCUGGACCAGCACUGACACUGAGGCACGAAAGCGUGGGGAGCAAACAGG